RNAcentral lists this ribosomal RNA (1428 nucleotides) under uncultured organism. RNAcentral's name for it is "SSU rRNA". It matches the Rfam family "Bacterial small subunit ribosomal RNA". The record is from RNAcentral.
GAACGCUGGCGGCGUGCUUAACACAUGCAAGUCGAACGAGAAUCUACUGAAGGAGGAUUCGUCCAACGGAAGUAGAGGAAAGUGGCGGACGGGUGAGUAACGCGUGAGGAACCUGCCUUGAAGAGGGGGACAACAGUUGGAAACGACUGCUAAUACCGCAUGAAGCAUAGGGGUCGCAUGAUUCUUAUGCCAAAGAUUUAUCGCUUCAAGAUGGCCUCGCGUCUGAUUAGCUAGUUGGCGGGGUAACGGCCCACCAAGGCGACGAUCAGUAGCCGGACUGAGAGGUUGAACGGCCACAUUGGGACUGAGAUACGGCCCAGACUCCUACGGGAGGCAGCAGUGGGGAAUAUUGGGCAAUGGGCGCAAGCCUGACCCAGCAACGCCGCGUGAAGGAAGAAGGCUUUCGGGUUGUAAACUUCUUUUAAGAGGGAAGAGCAGAUGACGGUACCUCUAGAAUAAGCCACGGCUAACUACGUGCCAGCAGCCGCGGUAAUACGCAGGUGGCAAGCGUUGUCCGGAUUUACUGGGUGUAAAGGGCGUGCAGCCGGGUCUGCAAGUCAGAUGUGAAAUCCAUGGGCUCAACCCAUGAACUGCAUUUGAAACUGUAGAUCUUGAGUGUCGGAGGGGCAAUCGGAAUUCCUAGUGUAGCGGUGAAAUGCGUAGAUAUUAGGAGGAACACCAGUGGCGAAGGCGGAUUGCUGGACGAUAACUGACGGUGAGGCGCGAAAGUGUGGGGAGCAAACAGGAUCAGAUACCCUGGUAGUCCACACUGUAAACGAUGAAUACUAGGUGUGCGGGGACUGACCCCCUGCGUGCCGCAGUAAACACAAUAAGUAUUCCACCUGGGGAGUACGAUCGCAAGGUUGAAACUCAAAGGAAUUGACGGGGGCCCGCACAAGCGGUGGAUUAUGUGGUUUAAUUCGACGCAACGCGAAGAACCUUACCAAGUCUUGACAUCCUGCGACGGUGCUGGAAACAGUACUUUCCUUCGGGACGCAGAGACAGGUGGUGCAUGGUUGUCGUCAGCUCGUGUCGUGAGAUGUUGGGUUAAGUCCCGCAACGAGCGCAACCCUUAUGGUCAGUUACUACGCAAGAGGACUCUGGCCAGACUGCCGUUGACAAAACGGAGGAAGGUGAGGAUGACGUCAAAUCAUCAUGCCCUUUAUGACUUGGGCUACACACGUACUACAAUGGCGUUAAACAAAGAGAAGCAAGACCGCGAGGUGGAGCAAAACUCAGAAACAACGUCCCAGUUCGGACUGCAGGCUGCAACUCGCCUGCACGAAGUCGGAAUUGCUAGUAAUCGCAGAUCAGCAUGCUGCGGUGAAUACGUUCCCGGGCCUUGUACACACCGCCCGUCACACCAUGAGAGCCGGGGGGACCCGAAGUCGAUAGUCUAACCGCAAGGAGGACGCCGCCGAAGGAAAA